GUGGGGAGGUUGAACAUCCUGCAUAGUGCUGCCAGGAAAUCCCUAUUUUAUACUAAGAGGGGGCUGGCUGGUUGCAUAUGUAGGAUGUCCCAUCUCCCCGCCCACAUCGUC
Molecule: microRNA precursor, 111 nt
Filed under: Tursiops truncatus (common bottlenose dolphin)
Lineage: Eukaryota; Metazoa; Chordata; Mammalia; Artiodactyla; Delphinidae
Description: microRNA 448 (ENSTTRG00000024066.1)
Rfam family: mir-448 microRNA precursor family
Source: RNAcentral